CAGCCGCCGCGGUAAUACAGAGGGUGCGAGCGUUAAUCGGAUUUACCGGGCGUAAAGCGUGCGUAGGCGGCUUCUUAAGUCGGAUGUGAAAUCCCUGAGCUUAACUUAGGAAUUGCAUUCGAUACUGGGAAGCUAGAGUAUGGGAGAGGAUGGUAGAAUUCCAGGUGUAGCGGUGAAAUGCGUAGAGAUCUGGAGGAAUACCGAUGGCGAAGGCAGCCAUCUGGCCUAAUACUGACGCUGAGGUACGAAAGCAUGGGGAGCAAACAGGAUUAGAUACCCCAGUAGUCCCUGUCUCUUAUAC
This 301-nucleotide ribosomal RNA is filed under the name uncultured bacterium. Its description in RNAcentral is "partial 16S ribosomal RNA". It matches the Rfam family "Bacterial small subunit ribosomal RNA", at positions 509 to 807 of the family's 1533-position model. The record is from RNAcentral.